CCAGACUCCUCCGGGAGGCAGCAGUGGGGAAUAUUGCACAAUGGGGGAAACCCUGAUGCAGCAACGCCGCGUGAGUGAAGAAGUAUUUCGGUAUGUAAAGCUCUAUCAGCAGGGAAGAAGAUGACGGUACCUGAUUAAGAAGCCCCGGCUAACUACGUACCAGCAGCCGCGGUAAUACGUAGGGGGCAAGCGUUAUCCGGAUUUACUGGGUGUAAAGGGAGCGCAGACGGCAGUGCAAGUCUGGAGUGAAAGCCCGGGGCCCAACCCCGGAACUGCUCUGGAAACUGCGCGGCUAGAGUGCUGGAGGGGCAGGCGGAAUUCCUAGUGUAGCGGUGAAAUGCGUAGAUAUUAGGAGGAACACCAGUGGCGAAGGCGG
RNAcentral lists this ribosomal RNA (376 nucleotides) under uncultured bacterium. RNAcentral's name for it is "bacterial SSU rRNA". It matches the Rfam family "Bacterial small subunit ribosomal RNA", at positions 331 to 724 of the family's 1533-position model. The record is from RNAcentral.